AGAGGAAGAGAGACAAAGGCACCAGGCCUGCAUCUGAUGAAAUGUCCGGUGCUGGAGCCCUCAGUGGUGCAAUGGGUUAAACACUUGUGCCGGCAGGACUGCAGACUGAAAUGUUGGCGGUUUGAAUCCUGACAUGAAAAAAAACUCAAAGUCUCCAUGUUUUUUGUCACAAGGAUAUUCACACAUUCAAGUAGUUGCUUCCAUCCAAUAUCCACUGAACUGCUAAAACUGAACAGACUAGCUCUGGCAGAAGAGCCCUCUCUGAAAGACCCCAUAGAGUUCCAGGAAGGCAAGUACAGAAGAAUCCAAAAAGGCACCAACACGAUUUGGCAAUAACCAUGUUCUGAUGAAAUGCCUUGGGCAGCAAUUCAUUAAUAAAGAACAGUCUGAAAAUACGCAACUGAACCAAAAAAAAGCAAAAUUAGAAAAUGAAGUCAUAUGGAUUCUAUUCUAACAAGAACAGCAGCUUCUUGCAGUUCUUUCAUAUUGCCUGGACUAUCUAUAAUCUGAGCUCACGCUGAUCCCCAAGAGUUUCUAUUAUAGCCUAACAGCUGGCAGAUGAAAACGGGGGUACAUAUACUGUCUUCAAGAAGCUGGCUGCUCCUAGGGGGUCUAGAAACAUGUUCCUGUGCCCCAAUAUGCCUGAGUAUAGUAGCUUAAAACUGUACAACCUCCCACAAAGUCAAAAGCAGAUUUUUACAUUUUGAUGUUACCAAUUAUCUGUAAGCCUAGGGAUCUGAGGAAGAAGACUCACAAGAAUGGUGGGGGCCUCCAUGUGAGAGGAGAAACAUCUACAUCUACAUUUUCAAUAAUUUGUCCCUCACAUGAAAAUAUGAGUAGUAACUAAAACUAGAAAAAAUGGGAGGUUAGACUUGGAAAAUUAGGCAAUCUGCUUUAUCAUGUAUUCUAUUAACAUAAUCACCACACCACACACUAAAAUGUAGUAGACAAUUAUGAGCAGUGUAUGGUCACCUCAUCUCAUACAGAAGAAUACAGGGAGGAGCACUUUUUUAUAUAAAGCUGAUACACACACACACACACACAAACACCCAAUUAGUAAACUUUUGUAGUUUCAUUAUUAUUUUUACUGCUUGUUAAUGAGUAAGCUACUACAGGAACUCCCCGAGUUACAAACAUCCAACUUACAUAUGGCUCAUAGUUAAGAACAGAGAUGUGACAACAGGAAGUUAGAGAAAUCUACUCCUAGGAAGGGAAAUUUUCUCUUGUAAGAGUUGUCAUGGGAAAAGGGUGUCUCAACUGAAGCCAAUCUUUGUUUCCACAACAACCUAAAUUUUUCAAAAUCCAAUUAUCACAGGGACAGAAAGAGAGGUGAAACUUCCUGAACAGGGGCACAGACAGCAAAGCAAACAUGACAGGGGUGUUAACCCCUAUGCUCUCUGUUCUGUCCCUGCACUAAGUAUUAAUCUGGAAGGUACUGUGGUACAGGGAGCAGAUUAGAAACUAUAUUGAUCAUUUAAAAAGCAAUAUUUUUCUUAACAGACAAAACUUAAACUUCUUUUCCUCCUGGGUAUUACUAUAAAGUCUCUGUGAGGAAAGGCAAGUUCUUGAGGUAUGCACACAGUUCUGGUUCUUGGAUCUUUUCUCUUUCUCGGUGACUGUUGCUUGUAGUUGCCUGCUUCUCUUUUAGAUGUUAUUGAUGUUUAACUUGACUUGAUGUUAUUUCUCUAUAUAGCUCCAAUAUGAUGUACUGUUUCCCAAUAUAGCUCUGACGUGACAUACUAUUUUGUAAAUCUUCCCAUCCUUCUCACUCUUUACCUUCCAAUGCUACACUAACUGAACACACCAACUCUCACUUUUUGAAACCAAAAGGUUCAGGGCUCAGGCCCUGCCCCUCAAAAGAUCCUUAAAGGGGCAGGGCAUGAGAGGCUCUAAAUGCAAGGGGUGAAAGACUAUCUAAAGUGACCCUCUUCAGAACUGUACAUACAGAAAGAAAUUUUAAAGAUCAAAUCAGAGGGUGUUGUGGUUUUUAGCUUUGAAUACAUUUUAAUCAGUUUAUUUUUAAUACCAUUAAUAUUUAAUUCUAUUUUAAUGUUUGUAUAUUUUUAGGUUUUAAAUUGUAUUGCAUAGGUUUUACUGUAAGCCACUUUGAAUCUUUUGUAGAGAAAGUGGGGUAUAAAUAAAUAUAAUAAUAAACAUAAAUACAACAACAACAACAUCAACAACAACAUCAACAACAACUGACCCCCAUUGACAUGGUUGGUCAUACAUGGUUUUAGAGUUGGACUUAGACUUGGGCAAGAGUGAUUGCUAACAUCUGCAUUUUUGGUGUGAGAUUAAGAUGAUUACGGUCAUGAAGUAGGUCUUUGUCCUCUGAGGUGAUACAGGUAAUGUGCUCAGUAUUUGGCUUUGUUAUUAUAAUAGCUGAUGUAUUGCUGAAUCUUUUUCUGGUCUUCAGACCAAGAAUCAGAAUUUAAAUAACUGUGUUCAUUAAAAAGAAAAUACAUUUCUGUUCAUUAAAAAUUAUCUUAUGUCGUCUACCUUUUAAAAGAAAGCUAAUUUAUGUAUUUAUUUCUUAUUUAGAACUAUCAUUCCAUGAAAGUCUUUCCCUUGGAACAGAAUAGGUGUUACCUAUUUUUUUUUACCAACAUGAGCUCUGUCAUACCUAAAAGGUGAAUUAAAUAAGUCUCUGUGUGGUGUCUCCAUAGGCUAUACACCUUAGUUUUCUGAUAACGGUUCAACAAAUUCUCCCAUCCUUCACCUUGGCUUUUCCAUUUAGUCUCAGUGUGAGCAAAUUGUUCCUGGAAGCAGACAAUUCUGCCUGUUAUGAGGUAGCUGUAACAAACUAUUAUUUGAUCAAAUUGAUUGAAAAGCAAGAUGACCCAGCAAUGAUUAGAUCUGUGCCAUCUCACAAAAUUCCAAAAAUGUUGUACGAUCAGGGAUCACCUCUGACUCCCUUAAUCGCUUUCUUCUGAUCCUUACCUUUUGCUUCAAAUACAAGUUUGUGAAUGACUGUUUCUAAGUUACAGUAUCAAGCCUUAACCCUUAAUUAUGUCAAACAAGAAAGUAGUACACACAUUGCUGUGUUUGUGAUGAAAAAAAGACGGCUGUGCCAUACAGCAUCUUCUCUUUUAAAGUAACUUUCACAUUAAGAGGAGUAAGUGAAUCUGUAGAUGAUUAAAUCAGUAAUUGUUUAUAUUAGAGCGAAACUGCAGUGAUGAGAUUCUCAGUUUCAACUAUAGAUCCCUCAAGCAAGACUGAAAAUUUGGAUGAUUCUUUCCUAAAACAAAUUACCAAAUAUUCAAAAGAGACAGAUAUAUGUAAUAGUACUUGGGAACUUCCAUUACCCUGAUAUUUGUUGGGAAUCAUAUUCUUCCAAGAGUGUAAGAUCCAAUAAAUUCCUCGCUUAUAUUGCAG
Molecule: long non-coding RNA, 3375 nt
Organism: Anolis carolinensis (green anole)
Lineage: Eukaryota; Metazoa; Chordata; Lepidosauria; Squamata; Anolidae
Source: Ensembl